RNAcentral lists this ribosomal RNA (475 nucleotides) under Sporobolomyces blumeae. RNAcentral describes it as "partial large subunit ribosomal RNA". It matches the Rfam family "Eukaryotic large subunit ribosomal RNA", at positions 159 to 648 of the family's 3401-position model. Lineage: Eukaryota; Fungi; Basidiomycota; Microbotryomycetes; Sporidiobolales; Sporidiobolaceae. The record is from RNAcentral.
UGUUUUCCGUGUUAGACCGCAUACAAGUCUCUUGGAACAGAGCGUCAUAGUGGUGAGAACCCAGUACACGAUGCGGAUGCCUAAUACUUUGUGAUACAUUUUCGAAGAGUCGAGUUGUUUGGGAAUGCAGCUCAAAUUGGGUGGUAAAUUCCAUCUAAAGCUAAAUAUUGGCGAGAGACCGAUAGCGAACAAGUACCGUGAGGGAAAGAUGAAAAGCACUUUGGAAAGAGAGUUAACAGUACGUGAAAUUGUUGGAAGGGAAACACAUGCAGUCAGACUUGCUAUUCGGGGCAACUCGAUUGGCAGGCCCGCAUCAGUUUUUCGGGGCGGAAAAGCAUAGAGAGAAGGUAGCAGUUUCGGCUGUGUUAUAGCUCUUUAUUGGAUUCGCCCUGGGGGACUGAGGAACGCAGCGUGCUUUUAGCAUGAGCUUCGGCUUAUCCACGCUUAGGAUGCGGGUGUAAUGGCUGUAUAUGAC